Molecule: long non-coding RNA, 1346 nt
Organism: Dromaius novaehollandiae (emu)
Lineage: Eukaryota; Metazoa; Chordata; Aves; Casuariiformes; Dromaiidae
Exons: 3
Source: RefSeq, a predicted model, not a curated record
GGGCCGAGGCCGCUAACGCGGGGGCCCGCGGAGCCGCCGCUGCUGCGCUCCUGCCGGGCGGGUUGCCGAGGUCCUGGCGCGCCCGGCGGCUUCCUUUCGUCGUGAGCAACGGGAAUAAAAGACCAGCUCUGAAGCAGCUCGCUGUCACGUCGCAUCAGCUCUGCUGCCAACGCAAGGAACACGGAGGUGGCUGUGGCCAGCGGAGGAAAUGAGGCUGGGACCACAGCAACGGGAUUUACGAGCGUUUAUCUUCCUAUGGAAUGAAACCCUUAAUGAUUUCAGUCCUUUAGUCCUCGGCUGAGUUGAUUUUAAGAGCUGACUUUUGGCUGAACCAGUAUCUAAGAUUUUGGAUGUUAUUCAGCAGAAGUUGUGUUAUCAAUUCUGAGCAAAAGUGGCAAACAACCCUUAUGAAAUACACAUUUUUCUACUUAAAAUAAUCCCUCAGCUGGUAGGAGGAAGGUUUCUCUGAUGGAUACAUGAGGCAGGAAUGGAUGGGAUGCCAACACGUUCGCGGGUAAAACAGGGUUAAGAAGUGUUUUCAUGCUUAUGUUUUCUGUACAGUUUAACAGUGGAGUAGCUCGUUUUGGACUGAUGCAAAAGAAAUCAGACAGCUCUUUUAGUAAGUCCUUGUGGUUUAAUGUGUUAUUCUGGUUGACAUCAGCAGCUUAUUGAUGAUAUUUUAAUAUCAGAAUUUUUACUCUACCAAAGUCUGCUUAGUGUAGUAGUUUCUAGAGUGCAUUAAGUUACUAAGCCUAGAGCUCAUUUGGUAAAUAUGUAGAAGAAGAGAACUCUCCUGCUUUUCAUCCUUCCAUGGAAAUUAAUUUCCACAAAUUUCCCCUUCAGACCCCCUUUCUGCUCACUAUUGAGGGGUAGCAAAAGCUGUGCAUUACAUUUGUGCCCUAUCAUUGCAUCGUAGGAUGCUGCAACACCAGCUUUGGCUUUCUUCACAUUAACAUUUUAUUUUGUGUGACGUAUUUCUGAAUAAUUUAUAAUUAAAGUGCUUUUUUACCUUUUCCAUCUACUGUAAAAGCUGUUGUUUGUGCUGUCUGUCUCAUUUGGUGCAGAAGAGAAUGCUAAUUUUCAAUAGUGCUUGUAUGCCAUUGCGGGAGCUGAAAAAGAAGAGAAAAAGGAUUAUGGUUAGGACCAAUUCCACGUGUCAGUCAUAGCCGUAUACACCACGUGUCGUACGCAUUUCACAGGAAAGAUACUGUGUGUAGAUGCAGGGGUGCCUUAUCUGACUGCCCCCCAGCCCCUCCGUAUGCUCUUGUAGCUGCUAAAUGUGGUUCUAGAUCAGCUGUCCCAAGAAACGAGUCAAAGAUCCAGGGUUUUCUGUAUGUGAAGCUGCU